This 750-nucleotide ribosomal RNA is filed under the name Acinetobacter sp. Its description in RNAcentral is "bacterial SSU rRNA". It matches the Rfam family "Bacterial small subunit ribosomal RNA", at positions 50 to 794 of the family's 1533-position model. The record is from RNAcentral. Lineage: Bacteria; Pseudomonadati; Pseudomonadota; Gammaproteobacteria; Moraxellales; Moraxellaceae.
UACACAUGCAGUCGAGCGGAGAUGAGGUGCUUGCACCUUAUCUUAGCGGCGGACGGGUGAGUAAUGCUUAGGAAUCUGCCUAUUAGUGGGGGACAACAUUCCGAAAGGAAUGCUAAUACCGCAUACGCCCUACGGGGGAAAGCAGGGGAUCUUCGGACCUUGCGCUAAUAGAUGAGCCUAAGUCGGAUUAGCUAGUUGGUGGGGUAAAGGCCUACCAAGGCGACGAUCUGUAGCGGGUCUGAGAGGAUGAUCCGCCACACUGGGACUGAGACACGGCCCAGACUCCUACGGGAGGCAGCAGUGGGGAAUAUUGGACAAUGGGCGGAAGCCUGAUCCAGCCAUGCCGCGUGUGUGAAGAAGGCCUUUUGGUUGUAAAGCACUUUAAGCGAGGAGGAGGCUACUUAGAUUAAUACUCUAGGAUAGUGGACGUUACUCGCAGAAUAAGCACCGGCUAACUCUGUGCCAGCAGCCGCGGUAAUACAGAGGGUGCGAGCGUUAAUCGGAUUUACUGGGCGUAAAGCGUGCGUAGGCGGCUGAUUAAGUCGGAUGUGAAAUCCCUGAGCUUAACUUAGGAAUUGCAUUCGAUACUGGUCAGCUAGAGUAUGGGAGAGGAUGGUAGAAUUCCAGGUGUAGCGGUGAAAUGCGUAGAGAUCUGGAGGAAUACCGAUGGCGAAAGGCAGCCAUCUGGCCUAAUACUGACGCUGAGGUACGAAAGCAUGGGGAGCAAACAGGAUUAGAUACCCUGGUAGU